RNAcentral lists this long non-coding RNA (5549 nucleotides) under Malus domestica (apple). RNAcentral describes it as "long non-coding RNA (MDOM_LNC002329)". Lineage: Eukaryota; Viridiplantae; Streptophyta; Magnoliopsida; Rosales; Rosaceae. The record is from RNAcentral.
UCUCUCUAGACCGACGAAGUCCCACAUACAUUCAAUCUUUAUAUAGCUGUUCAAGAGAGCUGAGGUCUAGAGGUCCCUGUCCUGGAAGGAAUUGCGAGAGUGGGAGGUGUUGAAAGUCCAUUUCCAUCCAAAAUAUUUCAAAAUUGACGGUCCAGAAAAUCAGAGCACCAUUUGAUAAUCCUAUCUUUACAGGUUUGCUUGCUCGCUGCAUCAAUUAAACCGAUAUAUCUGUUAGUCCCAUCACACCUUAGUCCCAUCACAUCUACCAGAAGAUUACAGUUAUGGUGCAAACGGGAGAAGUAUGAGAAAUCAUCCGGGGAUUUACCUCUUCUCAUGCAGGAGAAUCAUAUAUAUCGACCCCAAGUAGUUCCACAGUAUCAGACUACAAAAAAUUCACUCCCCUCGCACUCUCCUGUAUUUUCAUCAGAAUUGGACUCUGAAACUCUAAUUUAAGCUGGAAUAUUGCUGAGGACAAUCAAUUUAAUAAUAAAUAAAAACAAAACAGUACCUGGCUUUUAUCUUGAGAGUUGAGAAUUGAGAGUUGGAGAGAGUGAAAUGAAAGCUCAUAUGGUGAUUUCAUCAUCUAUCUCUAUGCAAGGAAUGCGAGCUAGGUUUCUCCAAUCUUUUCCCUUCUUGUUCCGAUACCUCUUCUUCAGAGAAGGACAACCCCGGAUCUUCAGAUAAGAAAGAGAUGCCGGCAAACCCUCUUUUGGCAGGAAUUUGAGACUCUCGCACCCUUCAAUUUGUAGCCAUUGAAGAGAAGCGAGGUGCUCAAAUCCCUUUCCGUCCAAAGAUUUCAGAUUCGAUACUUCAUAGAUUUGGAGAGUGUGAAGAGUGGCAGGGAGCAGCUGUUCAUUGAGCAACGUCUCCACCAGAUCCCAGUUACAGUCACGGAUAAAUAAUGUUUGUAGGUUGGGAGGCAAACCCCCAACCUUUGGAAGACGAUCCUGUUGAGCAAAAAUUGUACAUAAUAUGUAAACAAAUAAUUCACUCGACACAAUUUUACCCUCGUUCAUUUUUCGAAGAGGGUUUUAUUAAUUCGAGUUCGACCCAUUAUAGGCUACGCGCCUAUUAAUUACAACCUUUCAUUUGGGAAAGGAACACCCUUUGAUUCUAAUAUGAAUAAAUCGUAACUUGGGAAUUUAGAUGUUUAUUUGAUUUUGUGACUGCAUCUAGAUAGAGCCCUAGAUUGCCUACGUACCCUCGUUGAGGGAUCAAGUCACUCGUAGUUCCUUGGUAUUUGGUACUUGUUUGAUUUUGAUGCCUUAUGCAGUUUUAGCUCAUGCAGGCGAGGACUUUAAGUCAUUAGAGCAUUAAUGCCUUGUGCAGUUUUAGCUCAUGUGGACGAGGACUUUUAAGCCAUUGGAGCAUUAAUGCCUUGUGCAGUUUUAGCUCAUGCAGGCGAGGACUUUAAGCCAUUGGAGCAAUAAUGCCUUGUGCAGUUUUAGCUCAUGCAGGCAAGGACUUUAAGUCAUUGGAGCAUUUGAUUCGGCUUCAUGCCAUUUGAGAUUUUUCUUCAGCUUCAUGCCUUUUGUGAUUUGAUGCGGCUUCAUGCCAUUUGAAAUUUAAAGCGGCUUCGUGCCAUUUGUAAUUUGAAUCGGCUCGCUUCUCUUUUACUCUUCGUAGAAUUUGUAAUUACUUGGUCAAAGUAACAGAAGUGAAUUUAGUUUAUAUAAACUAGGGAUUCGUCUUGAUUUCAACUUCACGGUUGCGUCUAAAAUUUUAAUAUUAGACUGCCUACGUAUCCUUAACGGAAUCAAACCGGCGUAGUUCAUAAAAACUUGAUAUCAUGGUUGUGUCUGAAAAUUGAUAUCAGACUGCCUACGUAUCCUUAAAGGAAUCAAACCAGCGUAGUUCAUAAAAACUUGAUUUGGAUUUGUAGAAUUUUUGUAUCAAUUAUAUGCCAACUGAUACAAUGGAUGAAUUUUCUUUGGAGAUCAUAUCCACUGACUUCACUUGGAAAGUCAUACCAAUUAAUUGUUUAAUGAGUAUAAUCCCCCUCGAUUGGCAACUUUGUUUCAUGAGUUCAGCCUGCUUCAUUUUUGAAAGCUUUGUUCCAGAUUUUUAUUCCACGGCAACACCACUUUUAAAGUUCUCUCUCAAUUCCAUUGGUAGCUCCUGGGUGGUCUUGUAUUUGUUGUUUGGGAAUACUGAUAAACUUUGUAGAAUUUAGCUUUGUCGUUUUUGUUUUUUUUUUCUUCUGUUUUUGGACAGAUAGACACCCUUUUAAUUGUUGGCUCUUUCAUCCUCGAACCAUCACGUGAGUGCCUCAUUUUCUUCCCUUUUUAUAUAUAUUUUCCUUUUGAUCUUUCAUCCCCAUUUAAGAUGGGACUUUGAACCCAUUUGACUGACAGCAAGCUUCACUCUUUUUUUUUUAACUUUACAGCUUCCAAAUUCAACAAACUCUAUUCUUCUCCACGUGAGGUGCCCAUUUUUUUCUUCCUUGCUUUCCUUUGUCUUGUCAACUUGUCAGUUUGUCAGCAAACUCUUUUUUCUUCGCUGGGAAUUUUUGAAACUUUUCCAAAUCCCGUAGAACUUUACGUGAGAGUAAACAUCUAUUUAUUUCCCUCCUGUAGUAACUUUUUCCUUGGUGGGAUUUAUGCCACGCGGAAUGAAAAAGGAUUUAAACACCUUUUGCUGGUUGAAGAGCUUCUGAAGUCUUUGAAUUCUUUUUGAGAGUCAUAACUCCUAUUUCACAUAAGCAGUGUAUCGAAGACUUAUGAAAGGAAGACAGCAACUUAUAUAUUCAUCUGCCGUUGCUUGUUCAUCCGUGAGGGAUGAAGGAUGACACACCAUUCAUUUGUCGUUGCUUGCUAAUCUCUCUCCUCUUGACUUUUAACGGAAACGGACGGCAUGUUGAACUCUUUCUCCUCCACGACGAGAUGUACAUUCCAAUUUGUUUUGCUCUUCAUGAUGUGUUGUUUGUACAUUUGUCUUUGCUUUCUUCAUGGACUUUGUGAAAGCUCCAGAGACUUUGAUGAAAUUCUUAUAAGAAAACUGCAGCGACUAUUUCAACUUCGGCAGCCACUGUGGUUGUUUUCACGGUGGAGGACUUCGUUCAUGACCACCCUUUUUUUAUGCCGUUGAUGAGAAAAAUGGAGUAUGCUGCGACGCUGGGCUUGCGGACCGGAGGACGGCGUGAUCGCUGUGGCCGUCGGUGUUGUUGAAGUGGUGGUGUCCGGUGACGUCGUAGCGGGCUGUUGCCAAAGUCCAGGUGAGAAGGCAGUCCUCCGGUUCCAGUUUGUCGCGAAAAGUGAGAGCUUCGGAGCCAUCACUAGGCACAGUGGUUUGGCACUGUUCCUUCAUGCAGGUUGUACUUCCAAACUUCUUUAGGCACCCAUUCCUUCAUUGACGCGACUUCCUUCGGGUUCUUCUGGUUUUAUGCAACACGGCAUUACCAAACCCAUCUCCUUCAAGCCGUAUCCUCCAUUGACGUGACUUCCUUCGGGUUCUUCUGGUUUUAUGCAACACGGCAUGACCAAACCCAUCUCCUUCAAUCCGUAUAAUGUACGGACGGUAAGUAUGGGUUACUUAGACUUUGAUUGGAACUUCACGGGGUGGUCUAGGCCACCCCGAAGAAAUUCAUGGGAUUCUUGGAGAUCAUUUCUGCUGCUCCACCUCCAUCUGUUUGGUGCAGGAAAAAUACCAAACAAAGAAACAAAGGCAAAAAAAGGCUAAAAGAAAUAUUAGAAAAUUUGAUUUGUCCUUCUCUUUUUCUUUCUUUUGUUUCCUUGCAUUGUGGACCAUUGCCAAACAAAGGGGAAUGUCAUGAACCAUUGCCUAGUGGUCUUUGGCUGCCAUUUUUUUUGCGUUGUUUCUUCCUUCGUGUCCUUCUCUGUUUCUUGUACAUAUAUACAACAUAACAAUAAUCAAGAGAAAAAUAAUUUUAACAGGGCUUUGUCUUGUACCUGGUGAUGAAUAUUCUUAUUUGGUUCUUGACUUGAAAGCACGAAUGGUUGAACUGCUUGCUCACUUUUCCGGCAGUACUUCGUUUUUUUUUUUGGUAUUUUCUCUCAAAGCCUCUCUUAGUUUCUGCAGAGUAUCCCCUCCCUUCUUUCCCUUUUUUUUUUUCUUGUUGUGGUUGAUGCCUAUUUAUAGGCAUCUUAGGAGGGUUCCAGCGUUCUUACGUGGGGGAGGAUAGAAGCCUUUCUUUUCGCCACUUUCUCUUAAACCGACUCCAUUUUUCCUUUUGUUGCAGAAAAUGGGGGAACGCCCCCUGUUUUGCACGUUUCCCCCUUUUCUAGGAAGGGAUUCAUAUUUUUAUUUUUUUAUUUUUUUAUUUCUGAAUGUUGUUUUGUAUGUAAGGCCCAUCCUCAUAUUUUGGGUUGGAUUACAUUUUUUUGCCUUGUAGUUUGACCCAAUUUGUAUGGACUUCAUUUUUUAUAUGUCAUGUAUUUUUAUUGUUCAACAGAUCCAUCGACAAAUAUUGAAGGGCGGUGAGGGUGUGCAUUCGGUCCGUCAACAACUUCAAAUUCUCGCAGUUGUAGACUUGAAAGAAAGUGAGGUUGGGAGUGGGCAAUCCCCGGUUGUGUGGCUGCAUAUGAAUCAGAAAAACAAUGAAUGGACCCCUUAGCGACUGGGAAAUCCUGCUAUGUGCUAUCAUGUACAUGAAGCACUACCACAGUUGAGUUGCUACUUACCAAGAAGGUUUCUAAAUUUGAGAGCCCGCUGCUCCAACUUUGACCAUCAAACUUGGGUUAAGGUAUAUCAUCAUCUAUUUCUCCACGGCAUCUUCCUCUAGAGCAGUUAACGAAUCAAAUGAUUACCUGCAUAUAUAGUGAGGAAAUCUGCAAUGUUUAAAUAAUUUUUUUCUUCGUUUGUUAACUUGCUAUGUGAAUCACACGACAUCACACACGCUAAUAUAUAGAAAACAAACCUCCAAGUCCAGAUGCAACUUUGAAUAUUCUCUUGAUUGCUCAUGAAAUCCACAAAGGUGAGAAGAAUGCUAAUAUAUAGAAUACAAGCCGACAAAUACGUUAGUCCCAUCGUGUUGUCCUGACUGAUUGCAUAGUUGAAUUACAUUGAUCCAUAAAGGAAGAAUAAAUUACACUCAAGUGUUCAACUACUUGCACUGAAAUCUGUAGGCGCAGCAGCUAGCCACCAAGUCUAUUUACACUGGCAUUCUAGCAAGCGGUGCCAAUAAGCCAUGCUCUCUUCAACCAUGGUGUUUGUAGACAAACAUAUGUAUAUAUGCACCUACCACAAGAUGACAGAGGCACUGAAAGAUGAGUAAGCAUUCCGCCAUAUGGAAACCACAGAAGUAUAGAUAUAUAUACACACAAGUACCUGAGUGGUUGAUGUAAGCAAACAUCGUUUUCCCUCAGAUACAUUCAAUCUUUAUAUAGCUGUUCAAGAGAGCUGAGGUCUAGAGGUCCCUGUCCUGGAAGGAACUGCGAGAGUGGGAGGUGUUGAAAGUCCAUUUCCGUCCAAAAUAUUUCAAAAUUGACGGUCCAGAAAAUCUGAGCACCAUUUGAUAAUCCUAUCUUUACAGGUUUGCUUGCUCGCUCGCUGCAUCAAUUAAACCGAUAUAUCUGUUAGUCCCAUCACAC